RNAcentral lists this ribosomal RNA (253 nucleotides) under uncultured bacterium. RNAcentral describes it as "partial 16S ribosomal RNA". It matches the Rfam family "Bacterial small subunit ribosomal RNA", at positions 524 to 776 of the family's 1533-position model. The record is from RNAcentral.
UACAGAGGGUGCGAGCGUUAAUCGGAAUAACUGGGCGUAAAGGGCGCGUAGGCGGCUUUUCAAGUGACGGGUGAAAUCCCUCGGCUUAACCGAGGAACUGCCUGUCAGACUGGAAGGCUUGAGACCGGGAGAGGUGAGUGGAAUUCCCAGUGUAGCGGUGAAAUGCGUAGAUAUUGGGAGGAACACCAGUGGCGAAGGCGGCUCACUGGACCGGAACUGACGCUGAGGCGCGAAAGCGUGGGGAGCAAACAGG